This is a non-coding RNA of Monodelphis domestica (gray short-tailed opossum), 721 nucleotides long. The record is from RefSeq and is a predicted model, not a curated record. NCBI's taxonomy places the organism in Eukaryota, Metazoa, Chordata, Mammalia, Didelphimorphia, Didelphidae.
ACAUGCAGUGUCUCAAAACCAUCAAAGCUUAAAACCACAGUCUAACUUUUAGGAUAUUGUCCCUUUCUCUGUCACUCCAUGUCUCUCUCUCUAUCUAUACACACAUACUUUUCUUUUUUAAGGGGAGGAGGUUUAGUGUUUUUUGGUUACCCUAGCUAUAAAAAUGUAACAAUUCAUUUUUAGAAUCUCACUUCACUGUUGGAAAAAUGAAGUCACAAAGAACAAUGGCAAAAUUGAGCAAGCCUGAGGCUUGGAAGGAGGCCAGAAGAACUGGGUUUGAGUCUCAGUUCCACCACCUACUAGCUGUGGAACAUUAACACUCUAGCUAUUUCUUCCAAGAAAUCUGUACUGAGGCUGGCUCUCCGCAAAAAGAUUUUGAACUAGAAGAUAACAGCAUACAAAUAUUGCACUGAAAAGGAAUGUACCCGAGAAGCUGAAGGCUUUAUACUCUAUCCAAAACACUGCUGAAAUACCAAUAAGAGUGUUGCUCCAGACCAUAAAAAGAAUGAGGAGAAUGUAAUUUUCAGCUCUCUUCUGGCUACUGAGAAGGUCCUUGAAAUCCUUCAUAGCAACAGGGUAAACAGCAAAACCUGACACUGAAGAGGGUCACAAUGAAGAGGAAAAAGGAGAGGAAAGAAGAAUGUUUUUUCUUUUUUUUUUUUAAACUAUCAUUUUAAAUGCCUAUAAGCCCACUUUUCUGAGCAGGUCUUUAUAACUUAAA